RNAcentral lists this unclassified non-coding RNA (379 nucleotides) under uncultured bacterium. Its description in RNAcentral is "contains 16S-23S intergenic spacer region". The record is from RNAcentral.
UCCGGCUUAUCACCGGCAGUCCCACUAGAGUGCCCAACUGAAUGAUGGCAACUAAUGGCGAGGGUUGCGCUCGUUGCGGGACUUAACCCAACAUCGCACGACACGAGCUGACGACAGCCAUGCAGCACCUGUGUUCCGAUUCCCUUUCAGGCACACCCACCUUUCAGCAGGCUCUCGGACAUGUCAAGGGUAGGUAAGGUUGUUCGCGUUGCAUCGAAUUAAACCACAUGCUCCGCUGCUUGUGCGGGUCCCCGUCAAUUCCUUUGAGUUUUAGCCUUGCGGCCGUACUCCCCAGGCGGGGCACUUAAUGCGUUAGCGUCGGCACGGGAGGAGUCGACACCUCCCACACCUAGUGCCCAUCGUUUACGGCGUGGACUAC